CAGCUGCAAAAUAAAUAAAUGUAAAGAAAACGUAUGACUGAGCAAUGCUGAAAAUGGAUUUCAUUCUUUACAACAACUAUAUCUAUAAAUUCUAUAUAUUUUUGUAAUUUCUUUUGGUAACACUUUGGACACAAGAACUUAGUAAUUUAGAGAUUCUGUCUCUGCACCGGCUGUUGCUUCAAAUUUCAUCGGAGAGGCUGAAGCAUUUGGCCGCUUGGCUUCGGUCUCAAACACCCUGAAGGCAGCCUUGGCACGGCCCACUCCAGCAGCUGCAUACGCUCCAGCCUUGGGAAGAUACAGGCCUGCUUUGUUGAUGAAUCCUGGAGUAAAAUAAGCCUUUUUCUCUGCGGGGAAGAGGUCAGCGGAGAUUGUAAAUGGUCUGUCAUAGUUAUUUUGGUCUAGAACUUAUAGAAGUUGUUCCCCUAAUUCACCUGCCUUGAAGAAAAUAGACAUUUUCAAUUAGAUAUAUUCAAACUAAAAGUUAAAAUGCAGUUCCUGAAAAAAAAAUAAAAAUAAAAUAAAAACCUGCAUUAAUUAAUUCCAUCUUGGGCUUUCCAAUUUUUCUUUUGCUGUAUAUAUGUGGUUUCUCUCUGCUAAUAGCAACUGGAUACCAAACUGAUAUUUAUGCACUGAGCAAGGGGAUUUUCCAGCCAGGGAUCCUGCCCACUUCCUGAACCUUGAAUGGAGAGGAUGGUGUGGCACCCUGGACAUCCUAGAGGGUAAGAUUAUUUGCUGAAUUUUUAUUGUGUGGAUACCUUAUAGGUUAUUUAUUACUUAAAGUUCAGAUCGUUUUAAGCAGAGGUGGUAUGUUCAGGUCCAGAAAGUACAAAUCCGGGCUAAGGUUUUGUUUUAACCAUCCAGUAUAAAGAGGCACGGUUACAGUGUACUCAGCUGGUUGGUUGAAACAAAACCUUGGUCUGGAUUUCUGGAUUUGUACUUUCUAGACCUGACCUUUCCACCUCUGCUUAAACUUGAGUGGCCUCCUAAAAAAACGGUUACCUGGAGAUAUUUUCCUAACAGACCGUGGGUUCAAUAUUGGCGAUAGUGUGGGAUUUUACUGUGCUUCACUACAAAUACCUGCAUCACGAAAAGUUACCUGAAACAUUAACUAUUGCCUUAUAGACCAAGUUAUUGUUACCUAUUUAGGAAUCUAGUUACUUACUGCCUUGACAAAAUACAUGUAUGUCUCUGCAUUUUAGCUAUUACUUCCUCUAUUUGCUCACCAUCACUUUGUGGCAAAACUGAAAUUGGUACCCCUUUGAAAUUAUUAAGCAAGAGAGCUGAGGGCUGCUGGGAUUGCUAUCAAUGCCUUAGGCCUUGUCCACUGUGAAUGUGACUAUUUACUCACAGUGUGACUAAGAGAUAUGUGCGGCACAGAUGGGCUCAGAGCUUAUCUUAGUGUGCCAGCAUGACCCUGAGUUACUCUGCCGACUAAUAGGGAACACAGCUCCUAGUUUGUGCAAAACAGAACAGUGAAUGUAAGAUUAACUCAUGUUUUGUUGGAUUAGAGAAUAUACAUAAUACCCAUGUUUAUUAUGCAUUAUGAAUGCUCUAUGAAGCUGUCCGCUAUAAUGCACUAUAAAUACUUUCAUAAUGCAGUACACAGCAUCCUUAGUUCUUAUACUGACUGGUAUAAUGUAUAAAGGUGUUGUAAUACCAAAAUGUAAUGCCAUAAUAAUUAUGCACACGGUGUAGAAGGGAUAGGGAGUGACUGGCCUUGGAAGAUGGGAGCUGGAGAUGAAUUAGCAAGAAACCAGCAGGGAAUAAAGAAUACAUUCAUUUGUAAUGCGGGGGCGUCUUUCCCGUGUUUGCGGGGACCCUCUGUUUGCAAAGACAAAAUAAAUUUCUCCUACCCUACGA
This is a long non-coding RNA of Brienomyrus brachyistius, 1860 nucleotides long. RefSeq lists it as uncharacterized. The record is from RefSeq and is a predicted model, not a curated record. The transcript has 2 exons. Lineage: Eukaryota; Metazoa; Chordata; Actinopteri; Osteoglossiformes; Mormyridae.